RNAcentral lists this ribosomal RNA (393 nucleotides) under uncultured eukaryote. RNAcentral describes it as "SSU rRNA". It matches the Rfam family "Eukaryotic small subunit ribosomal RNA", at positions 587 to 972 of the family's 1831-position model. The record is from RNAcentral.
AGCUCUAAGAGCGUAUAUUAAUGGUGUUGCAGUUAAAUAGCUCGUAGUUGGAUUUCUGGUACAAUGCGACUGGCCCGCGGCGGUUACGUCCGUCUGUGAGUGCCGGUGCGCGUUUGCCAUCCUUCUAGGAAACGUUUCUACCCUUCACUGGGCCGGACUCGCGAUCUAGAUCUUUUACUUUGAAAAAAUUAGAGUGUUUAAAGCAGGCUUUUGCUGUGAAUACAUUAGCAUGGAAUAAUAAUCUAGGACUUCGGUUCUAUUUUGUUGGUUUCUAGUACUGAAGUAAUGAUUGAUAGGGAUAGUUGGGGGUGCUAGUAUUGGCCUGCCAGAGGUGAAAUUCUUGGAUUCGGUCAAGACUAACUUAUGCGAAAGCAUUCACCAAGGAUGUCUUCU